This 384-nucleotide ribosomal RNA is filed under the name uncultured crenarchaeote. RNAcentral's name for it is "bacterial SSU rRNA". It matches the Rfam family "Archaeal small subunit ribosomal RNA", at positions 347 to 731 of the family's 1478-position model. Lineage: Archaea; Thermoproteati; Thermoproteota. The record is from RNAcentral.
ACUUUGCAAUGUGCGAAAGCACGACAAGGUUAAUCCGAGUGUUUCCUGCUAAAGGAAUCUUUUGUUAGUUUUAACAGCACUGAUGAAUAAGGGGUGGGCAAGUUCUGGUGUCAGCCGCCGCGGUAAAACCAGCACCUCAAGUGGUCAGGAGGAUUAUUGGGCCUAAAGCAUCCGUAGCCGGCUCUGUUAGUUUUCGGUUAAAUCUAUAUGCUCAACAUAUAGGCUGCCGGGAAUACUGCAAAGCUAGGAAGUGGGAGAGGUAGACGGUACUCCGUAGGAAGGGGUAAAAUCCUUUGAUCUAUGGAUGACCACCUGUGCGAAGGCGGUCUACCAGACACGUUCGACGGUGAGGGAUGAAAGCGUGGGGGAGCGAAACCGGGAUUA